Molecule: ribosomal RNA, 253 nt
Filed under: uncultured bacterium
Lineage: Bacteria
Description: partial 16S ribosomal RNA
Rfam family: Bacterial small subunit ribosomal RNA
Source: RNAcentral
GACAGAGGGUGCAAACGUUGCUCGGAAUCAUUGGGCGUAAAGGGCGCGUAGGCGGAUGGCACAGUCAGAUGUGAAAUUCCCGGGCUUAACCUGGGGGCUGCAUUUGAUACGUGUUGUCUAGAGUGAGGAAGAGGGUUGUGGAAUUCCCAGUGUAGAGGUGAAAUUCGUAGAUAUUGGGAAGAACACCGGUGGCGAAGGCGGCAACCUGGUCCUUGACUGACGCUGAGGCGCGAAAGCGUGGGGAUCAAACAGG